UUUUUUCCUACUUUCUACUAUAUUAGAAGUGUGAGUACAGUAGGUGAAGCAGACACCUCUUCGUCGACAUGUUUGCUUGCUGCUGGAGACAAUUUCGUCCUUACUGCUCUUGUGCUAUCCAAAUUCCUGUUGUGUCCCUGUAUUGGCUGAUUUGACUCGUUUAGAGAAAGGCUACAUAGGUAAUUUCGCAAGCCACUCUGACUGCCACCACCUAAAUCUCUGCUUUACCAAGAUUUUCCUUCGCAUCUCUCUUUUUGCUUUGUUUAGAUUCCCUUUGCUUCUCCGUUGACGCAUCAAUUUCUGCUAUAUAUUGACAAGAGAUUGUGAUUUUUGCUGAGUUUUUGCAAUUCAAUAUUUGCUCCAUCAAGAUAAUCACAGGUUAGAAGGUUAGUUUUACUCUUCCGUUUCUUUUUCUUCAACUGUUGUUGGGUUUGGAUUGUUUCCUAGUGGAUCUGCCUAAAUUAAUUCAACUUUGCAGUUUACACUCGAUUUUUUUAUGCAAUUUGUAUAAUCCAGGCCCUUAAAAUUUCUCUAUUCCAAUUUCGGUCUGCAAUUUUUGUUACAAUGUUUGGGGUAUUUCAAAUUUGCAUAUGCUUGUUAAUCCAUCUCUGUCCUUCAGAGUUAGAUUAUAAUUUCAUGUAUCCAGGGAGAUGAAGACGAGAAGUAGUACUUGGAACAAAAAAAGAGACCAGCUUGUUGUCUCGGUCGCAAGGCAAAAACACUCUGCUUCCUAAGAGCACGACAACUAUUAGGGACCUAAUAUAGCUGAUAGAACUGCAGUUUGUAUAGAUUCUGAAUCAAAUUAUGUAGAUUUUGUCCAACUUUACUUCACAGUUUGUAAACAAAAGUUUUUUUUUAUGUUAAAUCAAAAAUUUAUAAGCUCCUUGGGCCGGGCACUACUGCCAACUAGCCUUAUAAGAGGGAAUAGCAGAGAUCUCUCGGUCAACAUGUCUGUUUCAUCGUGAGGGGUAUUUUUGAAAGCUUGCAAUAUUUGUGCUUCACUCCUGUUGUACCUAAAGGCUUCAUACAAAUACUACAGCAUAAUCCUUUUUCGUGUUGACUAAUGUACUCUUCUUGUUGA
Nicotiana tabacum (common tobacco) is the source of this 1081-nucleotide long non-coding RNA. RefSeq lists it as uncharacterized. Lineage: Eukaryota; Viridiplantae; Streptophyta; Magnoliopsida; Solanales; Solanaceae. The record is from RefSeq and is a predicted model, not a curated record.